This 429-nucleotide ribosomal RNA is filed under the name uncultured bacterium. Its description in RNAcentral is "bacterial SSU rRNA". It matches the Rfam family "Bacterial small subunit ribosomal RNA", at positions 355 to 775 of the family's 1533-position model. The record is from RNAcentral.
UGGGGAAUUUUGCGCAAUGGGGGAAACCCUGACGCAGCAACGCCGCGUGAGUGAUGAAGGCCUUCGGGUCGUAAAGCUCUGUCAGAGGGGAAGAAAUACAGGGGUGCUAAUAUCAUCUUUGCUUGACGGUACCCUCAAAGGAAGCACCGGCUAACUCCGUGCCAGCAGCCGCGGUAAUACGGAGGGUGCGAGCGUUGUUCGGAAUUAUUGGGCGUAAAGCGCGCGUAGGCGGUUUGGUAAGUCUGAUGUGAAAGCCCCGGGCUCAACCUGGGAAGUGCAUUGGAAACUGUCAGACUUGAAUACGGGAGAGGGUAGUGGAAUUCCUAGUGUAGGAGUGAAAUCCGUAGAUAUUAGGAGGAACACCGGUGGCGAAGGCGGCUACCUGGACCGAUAUUGACGCUGAGACGCGAAGGCGUGAGGAGCAAACAG